GGACGCCCGCGUAUGGAGUGGAUGUCGCCCAUUUUCGAACUAGCAUAAACAGCUGCACAGUUUCUACGACCACGGCUGUCGACUGAGCCUUUGGAACUGAAGUCAUCCCGAAUUAUAAUAAAUGCGUUGCAAUGGAUCGCUUAGCGGGACCACGAUGUCAAUUAGCGCUCAUUCGUUCAUGACACAUCCGAAAUAAAAAUAUUCUGCAUUUUGCUGCGGC
Long non-coding RNA from Dermacentor albipictus, 220 nucleotides. RefSeq lists it as uncharacterized. Lineage: Eukaryota; Metazoa; Arthropoda; Arachnida; Ixodida; Ixodidae. The record is from RefSeq and is a predicted model, not a curated record.